Molecule: long non-coding RNA, 548 nt
Filed under: Chloebia gouldiae (Gouldian finch)
Lineage: Eukaryota; Metazoa; Chordata; Aves; Passeriformes; Passeridae
Description: Erythrura gouldiae (Gouldian finch) lncRNA (ENSEGOG00005003981.1)
Source: RNAcentral
CUCUGGCAAAAUAAGAUCCUGGAGUACAUAUCCCUGGAACUGGGCAAUGAUUUGUAACUCUUUUUUUAAUUCUGUCUGGCCAGAGUGUUAUAAAUCUGGCGCUCGCUUGUUAGCUUCACGCUAGGCAGCAAUAAUGUCCACAGUGUUUUAGUCCUGAUAAUUCUAAUUAUGGAAGCACUGAAGAAGCUGAACGCUGAGAAGAUGGACAAGGCUGGCCUCAAGUCCUGCACAGCACAGGGGAUUCUCUCUUUGUAGAGUUGAACCAUAAUUCUGUCUUUCACCAAGGCCAGCAAUGGAAGCAGCAGCCGAGCUGCUUGGAUUCCCAGGGAUUUGUUGUGGCCAUGCCUGCCUAACGGUUUGGAAAGCUGCUGCAGGGAAUGCUGCAUCCACGGGCAGGCUCUGGGAGCUGGCCCUGGAGACCUACAGCAGUGAGGAGAAGGUUGCCUGUUCUCCAGUGAAAUAAAGCAGUGCCUUCCCAGCAAUCCUGUUGUGAUGCUUGAGCUGCAGCAGAGUCACAUAUGGGAAGAAUAAGAGAGAAUAGCAUGUCU